RNAcentral lists this long non-coding RNA (444 nucleotides) under Cricetulus griseus (Chinese hamster). Its description in RNAcentral is "lncRNA (ENSCGRG00015041369.1)". The record is from RNAcentral. Lineage: Eukaryota; Metazoa; Chordata; Mammalia; Rodentia; Cricetidae.
UGUGGCUGCAGUGUGAUCAGCCAACCUCUUGCUCCUACCACCAGACUUUCCUUGCCUGCUGCCAUGAUGGACUGCACUCUUCUUGAACUGCUACAGUCCAUGACCGAAGAAAGUAAAGGCAGAAACUCCAAGGCAGGCCUGCUUGCUACUCCAUGCCGCAUUACCUCUGACCAGGGAAUUUGCAUAGCCAAAAGGACCACCUGGCCAAAGAAUGGUUCCACCCACAGUGGGCUAGAUCCUUCUACAUCAAUGAAAGCAAUUGUGACGAUUCCCCACAGACAUGCCCACAGGUCUGUCUGAGCUGAGCAGUUCCUCAAUUGAGACUCCCUUCUCAGGUACCUUAGGAGGAAAGGAUGCUAAACUUGGUAAGAAUGGAAACCUGUGUGUUUCCAUUCAACCUGAGCCUGAGGAAGUGUGUUCCAGCCAUUAAGACACAGCUGCCUG